AUUGAACGCUGGCGGCAUGCCUUACACAUGCAAGUCGAACGGCAGCACGGGGCAACCCUGGUGGCGAGUGGCGAACGGGUGAGUAAUACAUCGGAACGUGCCCGGUAGUGGGGGAUAGCUCGGCGAAAGCCGGAUUAAUACCGCAUACGACCUACGGGUGAAAGCGGGGACCGCAGGCCUCGCGCUAUUGGAGCGGCCGAUGUCAGAUUAGGUUGUUGGUGGGGUAAAGGCCCACCAAGCCGACGAUCUGUAGCUGGUCUGAGAGGACGACCAGCCACACUGGGACUGAGACACGGCCCAGACUCCUACGGGAGGCAGCAGUGGGGAAUUUUGGACAAUGGCGCAAGCCUGAUCCAGCCAUGCCGCGUGCGGGAAGAAGGCC
This 382-nucleotide ribosomal RNA is filed under the name uncultured bacterium. RNAcentral's name for it is "bacterial SSU rRNA". It matches the Rfam family "Bacterial small subunit ribosomal RNA", at positions 29 to 416 of the family's 1533-position model. The record is from RNAcentral.